This 620-nucleotide ribosomal RNA is filed under the name Staphylococcus sp. 8R2-401. Its description in RNAcentral is "bacterial SSU rRNA". It matches the Rfam family "Bacterial small subunit ribosomal RNA", at positions 77 to 686 of the family's 1533-position model. Lineage: Bacteria; Bacillati; Bacillota; Bacilli; Caryophanales; Staphylococcaceae. The record is from RNAcentral.
UCCUCUGACGAUUAGCGGCGGACGGGUGAGUUAACACGUGGAUAACCUACCUUAUAAGACUGGGAUAACUUCGGGAAACCGGAGCUAAUACCGGAUAAUAUAUUGAACCGCAUGGUUCAAUAGUGAAAGACGGUUUUGCUGUCACUUAUAGAUGGAUCCGCGCCGCAUUAGCUAGUUGGUAAGGUAACGGCUUACCAAGGCAACGAUGCGUAGCCGACCUGAGAGGGUGAUCGGCCACACUGGAACUGAGACACGGUCCAGACUCCUACGGGAGGCAGCAGUAGGGAAUCUUCCGCAAUGGGCGAAAGCCUGACGGAGCAACGCCGCGUGAGUGAUGAAGGUCUUCGGAUCGUAAAACUCUGUUAUUAGGGAAGAACAAAUGUGUAAGUAACUAUGCACGUCUUGACGGUACCUAAUCAGAAAGCCACGGCUAACUACGUGCCAGCAGCAGCGGUAAUACGUAGGUGGCAAGCGUCAUCCGGAAUUAUUGGGCGUAAAGCGCGCGUAGGCGGUUUUUUAAGUCUGAUGUGAAAGCCCACGGCUCAACCGUGGAGGGUCAUUGGAAACUGGAAAACUUGAGUGCAGAAGAGGAAGUUGGAAUUCCAUGUGUACCGGUGAAA